GCGAAAUUGGUGGAAUUGGUAUACACGCUAUCUUGAGGGGGUAGUGGACGUAAGUCCGUGGGGGUUCAAAUCCCCCAUUUCGCACCA
Molecule: transfer RNA, 87 nt
Filed under: Haploplasma axanthum
Lineage: Bacteria; Bacillati; Mycoplasmatota; Mollicutes; Acholeplasmatales; Acholeplasmataceae
Description: Acholeplasma axanthum tRNA-Leu(gag)
Rfam family: tRNA
About the family: Transfer RNA (tRNA) molecules are approximately 80 nucleotides in length.
Source: RNAcentral